GGGACUCCCUGUUUACUCUCUUUUUGUGGAUGUGGAACGGGAAUGUUGUGAAGGAGUUAAAUUGUUGGACCUGUAUGUGCAGCGUGGAGCCGCCAUUUUCUCCAUGCAAGGGAUAAGUUGCCAGAUCGUCUGUGUGCUCCAGUAUUCCAAGUGAGCUGAGAUUUCUGUGGAAUGUUCCUCCUGCUUCGCUGCUGAGACAUUCAGGUUGAGCAUUGACAAGAAGUUUGUCAACAACCGCAUCACAACCCUCACCUCUACCAUCUGCCUAAUGGUUGGCAGUUACUACUGCUUUGACAUACAUUACCCUGUGGAACUACAGUAAAAUUUCUUUUAUUAUUGAUUUAUUUUUGUGCUUAUCAAACUUAGCAUAUGUUGAUGAAAACUUGUUCCUGGAAUUUCUUCAAUUCAGAUUUUCUUUCAGUUAUAGAAAAAAAAGUUUCAUUCUCUAUAUUUGCAUUUGGAUAAUUUGAAAAAGCAAUAUUAUACGUGUACUGAUAUUUAUGUUGUGAGAAGAGCACCAAUAACACUUUGGGGUUUUCAAGUUAUGGUAAAGGUGUCUGAAUUGUCGGCUACAGGUAAUGUAUGAUAAUGUAUGCUCAACUUACAACACUGGUUUUCCACAGUUUGAACAGAACUUGUAAGAAUUCAGUAAUUCUUUACUGUUGCUGUCAU
Long non-coding RNA from Oreochromis aureus, 672 nucleotides. The record is from Ensembl. NCBI's taxonomy places the organism in Eukaryota, Metazoa, Chordata, Actinopteri, Cichliformes, Cichlidae.